UACGUAGGGCGCAAGCGUUGUCCGGAAUUAUUGGGCGUAAAGAGCUCGUAGGCGGUUUGUCGCGUCUGCCGUGAAAGCCCGGGGCUUAACUCCGGGUCUGCGGUGGAUACGGGCAGACUAGAGGCAGGUAGGGGAGAACGGAAUUCCCGGUGUAGCGGUGAAAUGCGCAGAUAUCGGGAGGAACACCGGUGGCGAAGGCGGUUCUCUGGGCCUGUACUGACGCUGAGGACCGAAAGCGUGGGGAGCGAACAGG
RNAcentral lists this ribosomal RNA (253 nucleotides) under uncultured bacterium. RNAcentral describes it as "partial 16S ribosomal RNA". It matches the Rfam family "Bacterial small subunit ribosomal RNA", at positions 524 to 776 of the family's 1533-position model. The record is from RNAcentral.